RNAcentral lists this ribosomal RNA (700 nucleotides) under uncultured Inocybe. RNAcentral's name for it is "eukaryotic LSU rRNA". The stretch from base 276 to 429 matches the Rfam family "5.8S ribosomal RNA". Lineage: Eukaryota; Fungi; Basidiomycota; Agaricomycetes; Agaricales; Cortinariaceae. The record is from RNAcentral.
UCCGUAGGUGAACCUGCGGAAGGAUCAUUAUCGUAUAAACUUGAACAGGCUGUUGCUGGCCCUCUGGGGUGUUGUGCACGCUUGUCUCAUCUUUAUUUCUCCAACUGUGCACAUUUUGUAGAUCCUGGGAGUCUUUAUGAAUUCACAUUCGAGUCGGGACUGCUGUUGCUUUUUCUUUGGAAAGGCCAGCUUUUCCUUGCAAUCUUCCAAGGUCUAUGUUGUUUUUCACAACCUGCUUAGAAUGUAUGUGAUGUUUGUAUAAAAGUGAAAUAUACAACUUUCAGCAACGGAUCUCUUGGCUCUCGCAUCGAUGAAGAACGCAGCGAAAUGCGAUAAGUAAUGUGAAUUGCAGAAUUCAGUGAAUCAUCGAAUCUUUGAACGCAUCUUGCGCUCCUUGGUAUUCCGAGGAGCAUGCCUGUUUGAGUGUCAUUUAACUUAUCAACCACUUCAUGCUUUUAUGGUCUGAACGUGGCUUGGAUGUGGAGGUCUUUGCAGGCUUUUCUGUCUCAGGCAGGAAGGUCAGCUCCUCUGAAAUGUAUCAGUGGCAUCUGAGCUGCUACUAUAGGUGUGAUAACUAUCUAUGCCUUUGGUAUGCUGCGUGAACAGAUUGUGCUGCUUAAAACCCAAAAGAACUUGACAAACUUGACCUCAAAUCAGGUAGGACUACCCGCUGAACUUAAGCAUAUCAAUAAGCGGAGGA